This 625-nucleotide ribosomal RNA is filed under the name Loma kenti. RNAcentral's name for it is "SSU rRNA". It matches the Rfam family "Microsporidia small subunit ribosomal RNA", at positions 687 to 1304 of the family's 1311-position model. Lineage: Eukaryota; Fungi; Microsporidia; Glugeidae. The record is from RNAcentral.
AAACGAUGCCGAUGUCGUGGUGCCGAAUAAUGGCGACGCGAAAGAGAAAUCGAGUAGGGCCCUGGGGAGAGUACACGCGCAAGCGAGAAAUUUAAAGGAAAUUGACGGAAGAACACCACAAGGAGUGGAGUGUGCGGCUUAAUUUGACUCAACGCGGGACAACUUACCGGGCCCGACGACCGUAAGAGUGUGACACACGAUAGGUCGAAGAGUGGUGCAUGGCCGUUAACGACGAGUGGAGUGAUCUUUGGGUUAAGUCCGUAAAUUAGUGAGACCUCAGCCGUAAGGGACAGGUGCGCAAAGCACAGGAAGGAUGGGUCAAGGACAGGUCAGUGAUGCCCUUAGAUGGUCCGGGCUGCACGCGCACUACAGUGGUCGCCGAAAUUACCUGAUAAUUUUAAAGGCGAUCGAGAGGGAAUGAGCUUUGUAAGAGGCUCGGGAACGAGGAAUUGCUAGUAAUCGCGGACUCAUUAAGACGCGAUGAAUACGUCCCUGUUCUUUGUACACACCGCCCGUCGUUAUCGAAGAUGAAGACAGGCGCGAACGAUCUUACCAGAAAGUGAGCGCAGGUCUUUAGAUCUGAUACAAGUCGUAACAAGGUAGCUGUAGGAGAACCUGUAGCUGG